RNAcentral lists this long non-coding RNA (13764 nucleotides) under Triticum aestivum (bread wheat). RNAcentral's name for it is "long non-coding RNA (TAES_LNC012983)". Lineage: Eukaryota; Viridiplantae; Streptophyta; Magnoliopsida; Poales; Poaceae. The record is from RNAcentral.
CCGGUCAAUGAAAUUCCUGAAUUCAAGUACCUCGACUUUCCAAUAUUGAUAGUUCGCGAAAGAACUAAGAUCUUCAAGGCUAUACCAACUGAGCUAUCCUGACCAUUUAUGGAAUCUAGAUUCCCCGGUUUUCUUCCUAGCUCGGACUCCUUGUCUGGAAUAGGUCGCAUAACAACCCCCCAGAGGGAGACUCGAGUUAUUUACUUCUUUGUUAAAAUAGAUUAUAUAGCCAUGAUGGUUGGUCAAGUGGACAAUGCCCAGGUGGGUAGACCCAUAUAGUAGGGGAGAUAAAUGCCCUGCAGUGCUAUUGAGACCGAUCUAGGUUAUUGAUGGCUUUUAUUUAAAGACAAGGAGCUUAAAGGUGAUGGAUAAGGCUUUCACCCAUCCGAUACUGAGUAAUCCGUUAAUCGAUCCCCAAGGGAAGGGUACUUGUAUCUAUAGCAGAUUGGUGUUUCAAGCAGGCCAGCCCACUCUUAACAACAAUGCAAUCAGUCCAUUCACUCAAAACCGGAACCCACACUCAAAGUUAAGGUCAAUACUCCAUUUAUACAUACCAGCCUCGACAGAGGGGGAGCACCUACAGCAUAAUCACUCAUGAACACAUAUUGACUCACUUCUAGAUAGAUUAGUUGAUUCACAAUGCCCGCAGAUACCUAUAUAUGUUAUUGAACCUUUUUAUUGGAAUAUGUUUAUCUAAGGCAGACUGAACUAGUCUUAAUAUAUGGAAGAUCUUGGGGACAAGGAGCUUAAACGUUAUCGAUCGACAUAUUGGCUCGAUCGGGGCCCAGGCUCUGCCCUCCGAGCACUUAAGCAUGCAUCCGGAUUCGGGCUCUGGGCUUGCUCAUCAAUAUGUCAGUGUGGCAAGUGCUUAAUGUAGCAUUCUUGUCAAGGACUUCCCAAUGUUUCAAUAGAGUCCAGGGAUCUGCAGGCUUGUAUUGGGAAUGCCAUCCGCUUCCAGCGUGCGGUUGACCGGGCUGCCAUCACAAUAAUCUAGGGUUCGCGUAUGCUCUAGCAUUCAUUCUUGUUCUUGGUCUUGCUUGUUCUCCCUGGAUCUCACUGCUUCCUUCCUACCCCCGGUAGCAAAAGUCACGAGAUUAGUUAUUUAAAACGGGCCUUCUGCCUUGGAUUGCUUUGGCCCAUUUGACUGGAUUCCCAUAUGGCACCUUGCCCAUAAAAGCGAACUACUAACUUCGGUGAAGGAAGAAGCAAGUUCCCAAGAGAAGUGAAGUCAUCAACCUGGUAUUAGUUUGCCAAUCUAAAAGUCAAGUGAUACAGGUCGGGAUGGGAAGAAAGAAGCGAUUUCCUCGAAUUUGCUUUCGAAAAGGUGUAGCUGCAUGGAACAAAAUCCACAUUGCCAGUUCUCAAUUAUGAGUAACUUGCAGGAUGAAAGAUUCUUAUUAUUGUUAGCACCUCUGCUCUACCUUUCACACUAGCUUCCCGUCGCUCGAAGUACACUUCUCAACCACUAACUAUCUCGCUCGAUUUCUCCCGUAACUCUUCCACCUACUCCUUUGAUGAAAGGUGAAGAUUGUUGGGUUGAUCCUUCGAUUUGGGCAUCGUAGGGCGCUUCUUCAGUCAGUGGGCAACGAAUUCCGGAUAUCUAGUAUGAACAGAGUGAACUGUUAUGAUAUAAAUAAUCCGUUGGAAAGCAUGAGGUCUCACUUAUGUUCAGUGCUUUUCUAUUUCUAGCGCAAUUGAAGAAUAAUUGGCGACGCUCUGCGAUAAUAUGUUUUAGGGAUAGCCUAAUGCUAUUUAGGAUUCGGAUUCUCGACUAUUGGUAUGAUCGGAACUAGUAUUUAGAUAUAUACGACCCUCUACUGGUUUGACCUUCGAAAGGCGGAGAAAGUGGGGUUCAGGGCUUUAGGGCAUACAAUGGGUUAUGGGGUCCAUGGUACACGGAUGCGCUAACCAGCGAGAAAAGGCCUAGCACUUAACUCGUCCGGUGCGGGUCUAUUUCUCCCUUCGGGUCCUCUACACCUGUAAAAAGGAAAGGAGUCGUCAGGGCUUGGUUUUCUUUAAUACCGCUAGGCCUUUCUCAAUCUGUCUUCUUUGGAAAAAAGUGCAUUUUACUAAGAUCCGAUGGCUUUGAAUCCGCUAGACCCCAACCAAAGCAUAGAGAUGGAUUCCUAGCAUGAGGUGGAUUAGAGGGCGUCCUAGCCGUAAAUGAUAGAUACUGUGGGUACUCACUGCUGCGCGAGGAAACGAAACCCUAGUCAUGAUGAAAGACACAAGUUAUAUAUAACAAUAAUAUCUAUGAAGAGAAAGUAUGCAAUCCUUAUGUCGAGCUUCCUUCGGUAAUGUUGCAAAGGAAAGGAGAUAAGUUGUUUCUCUUUAUAAAGCUAAGUAAGGCUAAAGCUCUGUUUCCAUUCCUGUUUAUAAAAAAGAAUGCUAGCACGACUUUCAAAUAACCAGAAAGGAGUGUAGGAUUGAUUCCUCACAUGAUACGCAUUUCCAUCUAAUCUAGUUGGGAUUUAGGUUCCUGCUAGGUGAGAUAUUUAUUUUUAGACAGCUGGAGGUACGAAUUACCCGAUUGUGAAUGCUUCUUACUCGCAGGAAUAAUCCCAUUGUGUCCACGUAUCCACACGAUUGGUUUCUGAACCAGAAGUUCAUUCAUUUUUGAUCGAGAAACAUGGCGCAGGUGUCAGAUUGGAGUGAUUAUUGAUACGUGGUAUGAGCGUACAAAAUGAUUGGGGUUUGGGGUAGUAACACCAAAAGAAGCGUUAGUUGUUGUCUCGGAUUGAGAAGCAGUGGCAUCUUUAGCGGUCAAUGCCCACGAAGGAAGGUCUUUUCUCACUCAUUAUUUAGAUUAGUUAGCCGUGUGCACCUCUUCUUUUUUCCUUUCAGAAUAGAAGAUGGGGUUGUACCUGUCAUCUCUUGAUACCAGUAUUCUAGCUUAUGGUUCCUUUGUCGGUUUCCCCUGACCAUACAUAUCUACUUCGGCGUGUAAAGAAGCUGCUCCGCUGAUUACCCACCAACAGAUGCUUUUGGCGCUCCUACCUUUUCCCUAGGAUGAGUCUCCAAAGCGGGUCACUAAUAGCUUCAGUGUGCAGGAAACUAUGGCCACACCCUUUCCUACUCUAAAGCCGCUGCCCUUACUAAAUAGUGAAGCCGUGCAUACGUUUCCUCACUCAAUCCGUCUGGUAGCAGAAGCCCUUUACCUAGGGUAGGGCUUCACGAGGUUUAAGUUUAAGAUUAUUGAUAGAAUCAACGAAUCUCACUUCUAAUGGGCUUUACUACACUACCAGAGGAGUACAAGCUUGAAACGGGCAGCAGCUACACACUACCUAUACAAUAUAUCAAGACGAAAGCAGGGCGCUUAGGACACUGGAUUGGAAACUUAGACUGCCUUCCCUCUUUACUCGCUUGUUCCACUUGGUAUUCACAAUCAAAGGUCUCCCCAACCAUUAUAACAAGAACCAACCGUUGGAUAGGGCCACCACUCGAUGGGUUGGAUCCUGCUCACCACGCGGAAAACAACCAUACAAUUUAGUAAUUCCGGGGCUUACUAUUCAAGGGCAAAUCAAGUAGAAUUGUGUAUAUAGAUGAAAAAGGAGAAUGGCGAAGAAAGUCAAUUUGUCCAAAGCAUGGUGCCGACCUCCUUCUUUUAUACUACACGAACGAGAAUUCUCAUUUCUUGUGAAUGGGCCCAAUUUCCCUUUUGUUACUGGUCGGGACGACCUAAAUCCUAUAUCGGUUUCUCAAGUGCCAAAUAGAAUAGUUCUUUUCCAAGUUUGGGUAGGAUUCCUGACACCAAUCACAUCUGUAAGUAGCAAAGAUUUAAACAAAUAAUGAGAGGCCUUUAUCUAAUUAAGUUGAAUAAUACACAGAUUGUAAUAAAGGAGCGUGCUAACUGUCACAGAUAGCGUGGAGAUAAACAGCACGUACCGACCAAGUGUCGCGGUAGGUUGGCUGGUGCAGGCAGGUUUGAUAACUCAGUAAGAGAGUAUGACCACUUUGGGAAAUCCCCUAGCUUUCGUCCCUCACUGUCUACAGCGUAGCCGUCAUGGAACCCAGUGUCUUCGUCAAGCAUUCCACUCUAGUUUUCGCUACCAGUGUUUCAACAACACACAAUACCGCCGGCCCCCAUGCCACACAUGUCAAAUUAUAGAAUAGAUCUCGAGUAGAGACAAGAAGACAGCACGCUAAAGCGAUCGAAAUGGUUGUACAUGACUAGUUGUCUCCUGCGGCUCGCGAUAACAUGAAUAUCUCUCAUUCUCUUCCAUUCUUAGGCCUUCUUAAAAUAAGACAAAUAUAAAGCAAUCGAGCCAAAGAGAAAAUCAUGAAGCAUCUAAGGUUUCCUUAUCUUUUUACAAUCUAGCUCCUCCGGAUACGAUCAUGCUUAAUGUUACUAGCACAUGUUAAUGUCUUAAUCUCAUAAUAGACGAAAGAACGAUAGGGAGUUGGUAUCAAAUCCAUACCGAUGAUGAAUGCAUUCCAUUCCAUCGGUUAAGUUGGUAUCCUCAGGAAAAAACAAAGCAGCGGAGUACCCAUUUUUACAUGAGAAAGAAAAUGAGCUGAUUUGAAGCUCUGCUCUUGUUAUGUUGAACAAACGCCCUGCGGGGCACGCCCUCCGGGGGUUUACGCAAGGAAUUCCGUAGAAGAGAGUCUUGGUAAGAAAUAAAUAAAAAUGUACAGUCUACCGCAAGUAAAAAACCCAUAGCUUCUAUCGCUGACGGGGCCUUUCAGGCUAUCUAAAAUACCACCAUCAUAAAGGAGGAUUCGAAGAAGACGGCAUGACCGGGAGAGAGACGCAAGGAUGGGACUGGAACGAUUGAUAAGCACUCAUUUAUCAUGGAUGAAUAAAAAUAUGCGUAUAGUAAAGACAUACGCCCCAUAUCUGUGGAUGAUAGGCUCUAAUUGCAAGUGACCAGUACGGGAACCGAGUUCAUGUCUUUCCGGGAGUAGAGCUUGCGUUAAACUUGCUUCAAUGGCGAUGAAAAUAGCUCAGUUGGUAGACGAUGUCAUGUGAGAGCUUGUUUUCUCGUUGAAGCAUUCUUAGACUGAUAGCUAGGGAAGUCCCAUUUUGCAAGGGCUCGCGGAGUAGCCACAGAUAGAAAUUAUCAAGUACCAACCAAAUAGUUCUUCCAAGGCUAAAGGCAGGCUGACCCACUAAUUAUGUCGUAGGUAGGGAUCUCGUUUGAACAAAAUUGUAUAACAAUGAAGCGAGAAAACGUAUGCGCCCGCAAACGGCUUUCGAGGCGAUCCUGACCAGCAAACGAACUCAAAUUCAAGCGACCCUCAAAGCGAGGGGAAGACCCCCAUUCUUUUUGUCGAAAUCUUACUGUACUUAAAAAGAACAAUGUUGUUACUUCUUCAAAUCUCUAUUGUGUAGGUGUUUAGUCCCAGGUAGGAAUAAGUAAAGGCUAUUUCUUGUUAGUCUGUCUCUUUCUCUUUAAUAGCAGGUUCUUGGGUAAAAAAAACCUAGUCACUUUAGAAAGUCCCCCUUUUUUUAGGGAGCAGAGCUGAAAAAGAUGGGAAAUUCCAAUGAAUGAUAGAGAUUUGAUUCUCUAUGGAGAUGUCACGUCCAGUGAUAUACGCUUUUUUCAAGAAAGUCAAACUCAUAUGUCUUUUUUUAGUGGCUCAUCAACUAGGUCAGAUGCGGAAAGCGCUCCGCCGGAGGCUUCCGACUUGUUUAUGAGGAUUUGUGCAGAAUGCACAAGAUUAGUGGAGCAAGAAGGGAAAUAGAUACCCUCACAAUGGGACAUGCCUGACCUUCUUCGGACUGUGAACGAAGACUUAAUAGUAAUGCCAGACUUUCUAAGAGAUACUUAUUAUGAUGUCAUGUUACGUGGACCUCAUAGUUGGUUAUUCCUUGAUGUUAGCAACUGGAUUGAUUUAGUCAACUACGCCCCCCAAGUAUGAAGGGGCGGGUGUUGUGAGAUUUUACCCAAGAAAUGGGUACAUAAAAUGAAAAGAUCGGAACAUGGGAAUAGAUCUUAUACCAAUACUGACUACCCAUUUCCAUUGUUGUGCUUUCUAAAAUGGCAUACCAAUACAUACGCUAUGAUGAUCCAGAGAAACGUGUGGUUUCUGAACCCAUUGGGAUGACCCAAGAAUUUCGCUAUUUCGAUUUUGCUAGUCCUUGGGAACAGCGUAGCGACGGAUAAUUCCGAAUCUACAUAGGUCUAGUCCAGGGGACAAAUCAAUAGGAAAUGCUAUUUGCUUCUUAAGAGAAGAAUCACUUUUUUGAAGUUCCAUUUCUAUUAGAGGUCAAUAUGAAUAUUAUACCAUGUUCCAUUAAAACACUCAAGUGGUUAUACGAUAUAUCGGGUGUAGAAGUAGGCCAACACUUCUAUUGGAAAAUAGGAGGUUUCCAAAUUCAUGCCCAAGUACUCAUCACUUCUUGGGUCGUAAUUACUAUCUUGCUAGGUUCAGUUAUCAUAGCUGUUCGGAAUCCACAAACCAUCCCGACCGACGGUCAGAAUUUCUUAGAAUAUGUCUUUCCCUUGACUUGGCUCAACGGCUUUAGUUCAGUAAAUGCUUUCGUAUGAAGCUUGAGUCAAGUCUAGUCUCAUGUAGUGAAGAUCGUCAAGCAAUCAUUGCUCGUCUCUCCGAAACCUAUUAAUAAGGAACACGUUCAAGUGUAUGGAAUAAUCAAACCUUUCACGUAUUUGUUAACAUAGUGUUGGACGAUUGAUUCCUCUCUUUCUCCAUGGCCUGCUUCCCAUAACUGGCCUUACUAAAACUUACGAAAUGCUAAUUUGACCUAAAUUUCCGAUUAACUGCUGACUUUCUUUGCUAGCUCACCCGAAACUCUGUCUUCAGGAGGAAAGCUUGCUUGAGUACCUUACUUGAAAACAAACCGCUUGAGCUGUAACUGAAACAGAAAGGUUUGAUGAGCCGUUGCUUGCUCUCUAACUGCUCUUACCGCUUCUUCUUCUUGACCUCUACUCACUGCUGCCAAUGCUGUGACUGCCGCCCCUAUCUCUAAAGCUGCGGAUUACAGCUCCUGAUUCAAGCAGUUUUUUUUCCUAAAGUAUGAGUCUUGUUUGUGACAUUCAAUUCCAGAAUGAACAUUCAAAGGAAAAGUAGUAUGGGACGCUGCUUGCUAUUACUGACUGCGGCUGCCGACCGAAGAACUGAAGAUCUUCAAUCUAUGUUUGAGUGCUCUUGGGAAAGAAAAUAAUUUCGAAUGAAAAAAUGACUUCAAAAAUAGGAUAGGAUCGCGGAUUCCACAUAUUUUUAUAGAAAGAAAGAUACUGUACUCCGCAUCUUUACACCGAAUCCUUAAAAGCCAUUUAAUGCCUUCUUGCCUGCCUUCAGUUCAUGCCUUCAGGCCGGCCUGCUCUUGCCUAUGAAUGAGAUGCCUACUUCCCAUUAAGUCAAAAUACCUCAUAGACAUACAUAUUUUUAAGGAUACUUAGUUAGUUAAAGAGAAAGAUGGCUUUUGACAAUUUUUUUAGUCCCCUCGUUCCCGAGCAAGAAAACGGAUGCGCUAACGCGCAACGGCUUUCACGCUAGUUGCUCAAUCCGUUGCUUGUUCGGAAGAAUCCGCAAAUGAAUAUUCUUUAUUUCCUCUCGGAUAGGCCCUCUUUUUUCAUUCGAAUGUACAUCUUUUUUGGUAAUGAUCAUCUACAACUGAAAGACUGACGUCUUCCUCUACUCGAUCCUUAGUUAUACAAUCUCCCUCCACCUCAAUUUUUAUGAUCCUCAUAGCCUUUUUUAUUCGCGCCCUCCCCCUGGAUCUAUUCCUGCCGCGUCCACGUCCUCUGCCUCCAGCAACUAGAGCUGCAUCAUCUUGUUCAUUAUUGAGAAUAGGCCUCUUCUCACACCGUACCAGUUCUUUUUGCAGUUGAAUCUUCCCGUUCUGGCUUAUUGAGUGUAUAGAUUCUUUUUGAAAUGCAAUCUAUUCCCACAUCACUCUUCUCAUAACAUAUCUUGUUCUCCUCACUUUGAUUCUGGAUUCACCGGUUGAUUUAAGACGGGGUUCUAUGCUUUCUAGCCCCAUUUGACAAAAGUGAGCUUCCCCUCUCUCUUUUGUAGGAAUCAGAUAGCAAUGCUCAUUCGUGAAUAGCAUUUCAUGCUUCCGCUACUUCGUCGGAGAGAUCCAUGGAAACUCAACAAAGAAAAGCGGACGGGAAAGAUUAGACAGAAAACUGCAACCAGAAAGCUUAUCCGACGCUCCGUUGUACCAUAUCCCACGCUCUAGUGGUCCUUCUUUUCUGUGUGGGACUGCAAACGGAUUUGAUGAUUUGAACGUGGUCGUGGGGUUGAACAUAUGAGUUUGACUUUCUUGAAAAAAGCGUAUAUCACUGGACGUGAGAUCUUCAUAGAGAAUCAAAUCUCUAUCAUUCAUUGGAAUUUCCCAUCUUUUUUAGCUUUGCUCCCUAAAAAAGGGGGACUUUCUAAAGGGACUGAGUUUUUUACCCAAGAACCUGCUAUUAAAGAGAAAGAGACAGACUAACAAGAAACAGCCUUUACUUAUUCCUACCUGGGACUGAACACCUACACAAUAGAGAUUUGAAGAAGUAACAACAUUGUUCUUUUUAAGUACAGUAAGAUUUCGACAAAAAGAAUGGGGUCUUCCCCUCGCUUUGAGGGUCGCUUGAAUUUGAGUUCGUUUGCUGGUCAGGAUCGCCUCGAAAGCCGUUUGCGGGCGCAUACGUUUUCUCGCUUCAUUGUUAUACGAUUUUAUUCAAACGAGAUCCCUACCUACGACAUAAUUAGCGGGUCAGCCUGCCUUUAGCCUUGGAAGAACUAUUUGGUUGGUACUUGAUAAUUUCUAUCUGUGGCUACUCCGCGAGCCCUUGCAAAAUGGGACUUCCCUAGCUAUCAGUCUAAGAAUGCUUCAACGAGAAAACAAGCUGUCACAUGACAUCGUCUACCAACUGAGUUAUUUUCAUCGCCAUUGAAGCAAGUUUAACGCAAGCUCUACUCCCGGAAAGACAUGAAGUCAGUUCCCGUACUGGUCACAUGCAAUUAGAGCCUAUCAUCCACAGAUAUGGGGUGUAUGUCUUUACUAUACGCAUAUUUUUAUUCAUCCGUGAUAAAUGAGUGCUUCUCAAUCGUUCCAGUCCCAUCCUUGCGUCUCUCUCCUGGUCAUGCCGUCUUCUUCGAAUCCUCCUUUACGAUGGUGGUAUUUUAGAUAGCCUGAAAGGCCCCGUCAGCGAUAGAAGCUAUGGGUUUUUUACUUGCGGUAGACUGUACCUUUUUUAUAUAUUUCUUACCAAGACUCUCUUCUACGGAAUUCCUGGCGUAAACCCCCGGAGGGCGUGCCCCGCAGGGCGUUUGUUCAACAUAACAAGAGCAGAGCUUCAAAUCAGCUCAUUUUCUUUCUCAUGUAAAAAUGGGUACUCCGCUGCUUUGUUUUUUCUUGAGGAUACCAACUUAACCGAUGGAAUGGAAUGCAUUCAUCAUCGGUAUGGAUUUGAUACCAACUCCCUAUCGUUCUUUCGUCUAUUAUGAGAUUAAGACAUUAACAUGCGCCAGUAACAUUAAGCAUGAUCGUAUCCGGAGGAUCUAGAUUGUAAAAAGAUAAGGAAACCUUAGAUGCUUCAUGAUUUUCUCUUUGGCUCGAUUGCUUUAUAUUUGUCUUAUUUUAGGAAGGCCUAAGAAUGGAAGAGAAUGAGAGAUAUUCAUGUUAUCGCGAGCCGCAGGAGACGACUAGUCAUGUACAACCAUUUCGAUCGCUUUAGCGUGUUGUCUUCUUGUCUCUACUCGAGAUCUAUUCUAUAAUUUGACAUGUGUGGCAUGGGGGCCGGCGGUAUUGUGUGUUGUUGAAACACUAGUAGCGAAAACUAGAGUGGAAUGCUUGACGAAGACACUGGGGUUCCAUGACGGCUACGCUGUAGACAGUGAGGGACGAAAGCUAGGGGAUUUCCCAAAGUGGUCAUACUCUCUUACUGAGUUAUCAAACCUGCCUGCACUAGCCAACCUACCGCGACACUUAGUCGGUAUGUGCUGUUUAUCUCCACGCUAUCUGUGAUAGUUAGCACGCUCCUUUAUUACAAUCUGUGUAUUAUUCAACUUAAUUAGAUAAAGUCCUCUCAUUAUUUGUUUAAAUCUUUGCUACUUACAGAUGUGAUUGGUGUCGGGAAUCCUACCCAAACUUGGAAAAGAACUAUUCUAUUUGGCACUUGAGAAACCGAUAUAGGAUUUAGGUUGUCCCGACCAGUAACAAAAGGGAAAUUGGGCACAUUCACAUGAAAUGAGAAUUCUCGUUCGUAUAGUAUAAAAGAAGGAGGUCGGCACCGUGCUUUGGACAAAUUGACUUUCUUCGCCAUUCUCCUUUUUUAUCUAUAUACACAAUUCUACUUGAUUUGCCCUUGAAUAGUAAGCCCCAGAAUUACUAAAUUGUAUGGUUGUUUUCCGCGUAGUGAGUAGGAUCCAACCCAUCGAGUGGUGGCCCUAUCCAACGGUUGGUUCUUGUUAUAAUGGUUGGGGAGACCUUUGAUUGUGAAUACCAAGUGGAACAAGCGAGUAAAGAGGGAAGGCAGUCUAAGUUUCCAAUCCAGUGUCCUAAGCGCCCUGCUUUCGUCUUGAUUAUUGCAUAGGUAGUGUGCAGCUGCUGCCCGUUUCAAACCUGUACUCCUCUGGUAGUGUAGUAAAGCCCAUUAGAAGUGAGAUUCGUUGAUUCUAUCAAUAAUCUUAAACUUAAACCUCGUGAAGCCCUACCCUAGGUAAAGGGCUUCUGCUACCAGACGGAUUGAGUGAGGAAACGUAUGCACGGCUUCACUAUUUAGUAAGGGCAGCGGCUUUAGAGUAGGAAAGGGUGUGGCCAUAGUUUCCUGCACACCGAAGCUAUUAGUGACCCGCUUUGGAGACUCAUCCCAGGGAAAAGGUAGGAGUGUCAAAAGCAUCUGUUGGUGGGUAAUCAGCGGAGCAGCUUCUUUACACGCCGAAGUAGAUAUGUAUGGUCAGGGGAAACCGACAAAGGAACCAUAAUCUAGAAUACUGGUAUCAAGAGAUGACAGGUACAACCCCAUCUUCUAUUCUGAAAGGAAAAAAGAAGAGGUGCACAUGGCUAACUAAUCUAAAUAAUGAGUGAGAAAAGACCUUCCUUCGUGGGCAUUGACCUCUAAAGAUGCCACUGCUUCUCAAUCCAAGACAACAACUAACGCUUCUUUUGGUGUUACUACCCCAAACCCCAAUCAUUCUGUUCGCUCAUACCACGUAUCAAUAAUCACUCCAAUCUGACACCUGCGCCAUGUUUCUUGAUCAAAAAUGAAUGAACUUCUGGUUCAGAAACCAAUCGUGUGGAUACGUGGACACAAUGGGAUUAUUCCUGCGAGUAAGAAGCGUUCACAAUCGGGUAAUUCGUACCUCCAGCUAUCUAAAAAUAAAUAUCUCACCUAGCAGGAACCUAAAUCCCAACUAGAUUAGAUGGAAAUGCGUAUCAUGUGAGGAAUCAAUCCUACACUCCUUUCUGGUUAUUUGAAAGUCGUGCUAGCAUUCUUUUUUAUAAACAGGAAUGGAAACAGAGCUUUCGCCUUACUUAGCUUUAUAAAGAGAAACAACUUAUCUCCUUUCCUUUGCAACAUUACCGAAGGAAGCUCGACGUAAGGAUUGCAUACUUUCUCUUUAUAGAUAUUAUUGUUAUAUAUAACUUGUGUCUUUCAUCAUGACUAGGGUUUCGUUUCCUCGCACAGCAGUGAGUACCCAUAGUAUCUAUCAUUUACGGCUAGGACGCCCUCUAAUCCACCUCAUGCUAGGAAUCCAUCUCUAUGCUUUGGUUGGGGUCUAGCGGAUUCAAGGCCAUCGGAUCUUAGUCAAAUGCACUUUUUUCCAAAGAAGACAGAUUGAGAAAGGCCUAGCGGUAUUAAAGCAAACCAAGCCCUGACGACUCCUUCCCUUUUUACAGGUGUACAGGACCCGAAGGGAGAAAUAGACCCGCACCGGACGAGUUAAGCGCUAGGCGUUUUCUUGCAGGUUAGCGCAUCCGUGUAAAAUGGACCCCAUAACCCAUUGUAUGCCCUAAAGCCCUGAACCCCACUUUCUCCGCCUUUCGAAGGUCAAACCAGUAAAGGGUCGCAUAUAUCUAAAUACUAGUUACGAUCAUACCAGUAGUCGAGAAUCCGAAUCCUAAAUAGCAUUACGCUAUCCCUAAAACAUAUUAUCGCAGAGCGUCGCCAAUUAUUCUUCAAUUGCGCUAGAAAUAGAAAAGCACUGAACAUAAGUGAGACCUCAUGCUUUCCAACGGAUUAUUUAUAUCAUAACAGUUCACUCUGUUCAUACUAGAUAUCCGGAAUUCGUUGCCCACUGACUGAAGAAGCGCCCUACGAUGCCCAAAUCGAAGGAUCAACCCAACAAUCUUCACCUUUCAUCAAAGGAGUAGGUGGAAGAGUUACGGGAGAAAUCGAGCGAGAUAGUUAGUGGUUGAGAAGUGUACUUCGAGCGACGGGAAGCUAGUGUGAAAGGUAGAGCAGAGGUGCUAACAAUAAUAAGAAUCUUUAUCCUGCAAGUUACUCAUAAUUGAGAACUGGUAAUGUGGAUUUUGUUCCAUGCAGCUACACCUUUUCGAAAGCAAAUUCGAGGAAAUCGCUUCUUUCUUCCCAUCCCGACCUGUAUCACUUGACUUUUAGAUUGGCAAACUAAUACCAGGUUGAUGACUUCACUUCUCUUGGGAACUUGCUUCUUCCUUCACCGAAGUUAGUAGUUCGCUUUUAUGGGCAAGGUGCCAUACUGGGAAUCCAGUCAAAUGGGCCAAAGCAAUCCAAGGCAGAAGGCCCGUUUUAAAUAACUAAUCUCGUGACUUUUGCUACCGGGGGUAGGAAGGAAGCAGUAAGAUCCAGGGAGAACAAGCAAGACCAAGAACAAGAAUGAAUGCUAGAGCAUAUGCAAACCCUAGAUUAUUGUGAUGGCAGGCCGGUCAACCGCACGCUGGAAGCGGAUGGCAUUCCCAAUACAAGCCUGCAGAUCCCUGGACUCUAUUUAAACAUUGGGAAGUCCUUGACAAGAAUGCUACAUUAAGCACUUGCCACACUGACAUAUUGAUGAGCAAGCCCAGAGCCCGAAUCCGGAUGCAUGCUUAAGUGCUCGGAGGGCAGAGCCUGGCCCCGAUCGAGCCAAUAUGUCAAUCGAUAACGUUUAAGCUCCUUGUCCCCAAGAUCUUCCAUAUAUUAAGACUAGUUCGAUCUUCCUUAGAUAAACAUAUUCCAAUAAAAAGGUUCAAUAACAUAUAUAGGUAUCUACGGGCAUUGUGAAUCAACUAAUCUAUCUAGAAGUGAGUCAAUAUGUGUUCAUGAGUGAUUAUGCUGUAGGUGCUUCCCAUCUGUCGAGGCUGGUAUGUAUAAAUGGAGUAUUGACCUUAACUUUGAGUGUGGGUUCCGGUUUUGAGUGAAUGGACUGAUUGCAUUGUUGUUAAGAGUGGGCUGGCCUGCUUGAAACACCAAUGUGCUAUAGAUACAAGUACCCUUCCCUUGGGGAUCGAUUAACGGAUUACUCAGUAUCAGAUGGGUGAAAGCCUUAUCCAUCACCUUUAAGCUCCUUGUCUUUAAAUAAAAGCCAUCAAUAACCUAGAUCGGUCUCAAUAGCACUGCAGGGCAUUUAUCUCCCCUACUAUAUGGGUCUACCCACCUGGGCAUUGUCCACUUGACCAACCAUCAUGGCUAUAUAAUCUAUUUUAACAAAGAAGUAAAUAACUCGAGUCUCCCUCCGGGAGGUUGUUACGUGACCUAUUCCAGACAAGGAGUCCGAGCCAGGAAGAAAACCGGGGAAUCCAGAUUCCAUAAAUGGUCAGGAUAGCUCAGUUGGUAUAGCCUUGAAGAUCUUAGUUCUUUCGCAAACUAUCAAUAUUGGAAAGUCGAGGUACUUGAAUUCAGGAAU